AACGAACUAGCUCAACGGUAGAGCACGAGACUGCAACUCUCGAUUUGAAGGUUCGACUCCUUCGUUCAUCG
This 71-nucleotide transfer RNA is filed under the name Corallococcus sp. AB004. RNAcentral describes it as "tRNA-Cys". It matches the Rfam family "tRNA". From Rfam's summary of the family: Transfer RNA (tRNA) molecules are approximately 80 nucleotides in length. Their secondary structure includes four short double-helical elements and three loops (D, anti-codon, and T loops). RNAcentral also lists the same sequence under 1 other name. Lineage: Bacteria; Pseudomonadati; Myxococcota; Myxococcia; Myxococcales; Myxococcaceae. The record is from RNAcentral.